GCUUUAACAAUACUCAAAUUCAAGGUUGAAUGAUACAGAGAACAUUUGCAUGGUCCCUGGGCAGUGAUGACAUACAAAUUGUUGAAGUAUUAUUCCAUAUUAUU
This is a small nuclear RNA of Suncus etruscus (white-toothed pygmy shrew), 104 nucleotides long. Lineage: Eukaryota; Metazoa; Chordata; Mammalia; Eulipotyphla; Soricidae. The record is from RefSeq and is a predicted model, not a curated record.